CCUACUUGCUACAAUUGUUAGUGUUUUGCAAGUUGCAAAAGGUUAGUUUGUUUGUUAUGGUAGGACUAGGAGAGUAUACUGAAUUGUUAGUGUUAAAUUGCUGGUGAAACUAAGUGGAGGUCCGAACCGACUGAUGUUGAAGAAUCAGCGGAUGAGUUGAGGUUAGGGAUGAAAUGCCAUUCGAACCCAGAGCUAGCUGGUUCUCCCAGAAAUGCGUUGAGGCGCAGCAGUUGACUGGACAUCUAAGGGUAAAGCACUGUUUCGGUGCGGGCCGCGAGAGCGGUACCAAAUCGAGGCAAACUCUAAAUACUAGAUAUGACCUCAAAAUAACAGGGGUCAAGGUCGGCCAGUGAGACGAUGGGGGAUAAGCUUCAUCGUCGAGAGGGAAACAGCCCGGACCACCAGCUAAGGCCCCUAAAUGAUCCGUGAUAAAGGAGGUAGGGAUGCAGAGACAGCCAGGAGGUUUGCCUAGAAGCAGCCACCCUUGAAAGAGUGCGCCGAAGAUGAACGGGGCUAAGCGAUUUGCCGAAGUUGUGGGAUGUAAAAAUACAUCGGUAGGGGAGCGUUUCGCCUUAGAGUGAAGCACCCCGCGAGCGGUAGUGGACGAAGCGGAAGCGAGAAUGUCGG
Molecule: long non-coding RNA, 627 nt
Filed under: Helianthus annuus (common sunflower)
Lineage: Eukaryota; Viridiplantae; Streptophyta; Magnoliopsida; Asterales; Asteraceae
Description: Bacterial large subunit ribosomal RNA
Rfam family: Bacterial large subunit ribosomal RNA
Source: RNAcentral